UAAAUUUUUUAAUAAGUUGAAUAGAAAAAUUUAAUUGAAUUGAACGAUAGUUGAAGGUCCAUGCGGAUCUUUUUCUUAGGCUUCGUUUGAGAUUACCCGGAGAUUGCGUUAAGAACGGUGAGAAUGUGCGUUGAUCCCACCGGAGAACGCAGAAUCAUAUCUUUACAUAUUUUUUUUCUACAUUUUAUCUAAUAGAUAGGCUUCAAUUCCAAACUAAGCCUUAAAAAGUAGGUGGUGGCUUUAAUUUACGUGCUGCUGAAUUGGAUGGAGAAAGCAUGGAAUUAAAAAAUUAUUA
RNAcentral lists this long non-coding RNA (295 nucleotides) under Ananas comosus (pineapple). RNAcentral's name for it is "long non-coding RNA (ACOM_LNC007896)". Lineage: Eukaryota; Viridiplantae; Streptophyta; Magnoliopsida; Poales; Bromeliaceae. The record is from RNAcentral.